Molecule: transfer RNA, 73 nt
Filed under: Candidatus Rifleibacteriota bacterium
Lineage: Bacteria; Candidatus Rifleibacteriota
Description: tRNA-Lys
Rfam family: tRNA
About the family: Transfer RNA (tRNA) molecules are approximately 80 nucleotides in length. Their secondary structure includes four short double-helical elements and three loops (D, anti-codon, and T loops).
Source: RNAcentral
GGACCGUUAGCUCAAGUGGUAGAGCAACUGACUCUUAAUCAGUAGGUUGCAGGUUCGAGUCCCGCACGGUCCA